GUGAUUUUUUGUCAGGAUGAAUCUUUUAAAUACACAUAAAGUAGUCAUCAUUGUAAUAUUAAAAAAUAGAUCAUAAUACAGAAAUAUUCCUUCUACUUACUAUAGGAAAUACCUAGGGAGUAACAGCAAUAUUUACUUGCCAAAUAGCUGUAAAGAUUUUAAUAGCAACUUCUUUCGUUUUUCUACUGCAGGAUAAAUAAAACUCAAGUUUGUCGCAUAUUCUCAUCCCUUUGCAGAGGGAUCAGUGUAAAUAACCUUCCACUACUUGCUGUACUGAGGUGGUUUAAGGUCUCAUCAAUUCCUAUUCAAGUCAGGGAAAAGAUUCCUAUUGACUAGAAUAGGAAUUGGAUCAGGCCCUAGGAGCUGUGUUGAAACUCACUAGCUUCAAUUCACAGUUGUUUCAUAUGAAAACCUUUCCGUCAGUUUUACUUUCUGUGGGUUUGCACCUCCUGUGCCUAAAAACUCAAUGCAAAGUUCAGUUGAGAUUACUAACUUUCAACUGGCUUCUCAUGAAAAUCAUGUAGAUCUGUGAAUCUCACACCCUUUUGGUAUGAAACCAAAAAUCUGCUCAAGAGUCACAAAUGUUUUGACAAAUCUAAGCUAAGUUUUGAGCUUCUAUCUAAACCCAGUAAGAACAUGGUUUUACUUGGCUUGUGGUCUUGUUACAAACAUGUUGCACAGCUCUUGCAUAGUAUCUUGCAUCGAUGUUGCCUGGUAUCUUGCACAGUUGCAAGAUACUAUCCAACAUUAAGACUAGAUGUUGCAUAGUAUUAGUAUCCCAAGAUACUAUGUAGGCUAGAGAUAUGGCUAUGCCGCAUGUCAAUCCAGCUGUUGUGCUUGCAUGCAUGUGCACAGCAGCUGAUUUUUACAAGUUGGAUGUGAGAAUAUCUAUAAGAGGGACUGAAUUCCAUGGGUGACUACUGUGCAGUAACAAUAUUGAUGAGAUGCAGCAGUAUUGAACGAUCUGAUUCUUCAGUCUGCUUGCCUACUUUCACAUAAUUGGUGACAACUUCCCAUUUUUGGAAGCUUUCAUGCUUCUGUUCUUUUUUUCCCUUCCCCGAAUUGUGUCUAAUAUUUGGAGAUGCCCCUUCCCUCACACAUGGAAAAAAUCUCUAAGAAAAAUAUGGACUAAGGACAGAGUUACUGAAAUGGUGGCCCAUGUUCCUGUAUUGUCCUCUGUAAUACAGAAACCUGGUGUUCCCACUAUGCUUUACCUUUAUCGAUUUUAAAACUAAUGUACCUUCUUUUCCAGCUUUCUUCAACCAGUGAUUCAUUGAAACGACAAACUCAGGCUUGUUACUCUGCUGGGAAGUUGCCUGUUUUAAUAAAACAUAGCAAAGUGCUCUUUAGCUCUGAUUACUGUGCUCAUACUCCCCACGCUGAUGUUCUGAUGUUACUGGCCUGAUGUGACCAGUAACGCUAAAAGGGUCUCAUUUUGUGGCUGGUAGACCAUAGUUUUGAAGGUGGCCAAGAUAUUCUGGUGCAAUUUGGGAGACCCACAUUUUAACGGCAAAUCUUGACUUCAGUGUAGGCCUAAGAGGAAAGGCCAUUUCACUUUUCCACAGCCCAUCAGCUGAGAGAUUGAAGUACUGGCAGUGAUUGCAUCCUGGUCAAAAAACAACUUUCUGCCCUUCAUUCAUGUGGAAAACACAAUCCAAGUGAACAGAAGACGGCUUCAAAGAACCCUGAUCAGAAGGCAAAACAGAAUAAAGAGGUGUCUCUUCUGAACCGCAAAGGUUCUUAACGCCAUGCCCAUCAACACAAGAACAAGAGCCCAAUGGUCCAUCUAGUUGGGUAUCCUGUCUCUGACAGUGCCGAGUACAAGCUGCUUUGGCGGAAGAAACCUUAGGGAAUUAAGCACCAAAACAGGAGCAGGAUCGCAGGAGACAAUUCUUAACUCUCUGAGACUGUCUGCAGCUAAGGAUCCCGAGUGGAAGAAGGAAUCUUAUCUGUGGCUCAUCAGCCAGGCACAGCAGUAGUACCCAGAUGCCCCAACUCAGAUCACAGCCCCAUUGCACAAAAAGAUCAGGAAGCCUGCAACAUGCUCCAUGUAUAUUCUGAGCUGCAAACUGGACUGAUAGAGCGUUAUUUGAGAAAUGGUAUGUGAC
Long non-coding RNA from Chelonia mydas (Green sea turtle), 2108 nucleotides. RefSeq lists it as uncharacterized. Lineage: Eukaryota; Metazoa; Chordata; Testudines; Cheloniidae. The record is from RefSeq and is a predicted model, not a curated record. The transcript has 6 exons.